Molecule: ribosomal RNA, 1092 nt
Filed under: Escherichia coli
Lineage: Bacteria; Pseudomonadati; Pseudomonadota; Gammaproteobacteria; Enterobacterales; Enterobacteriaceae
Description: bacterial SSU rRNA
Rfam family: Bacterial small subunit ribosomal RNA
Source: RNAcentral
CCUAGUUGUUUGAGACGACGACCAGCCACACUGAAAUGAGACACGGUCCAGACUCCUGCGGGAGGCAGCAGUGUGAAUUCUGCACAAUGGGCGCAAGCCUGAUGCAGCCAUGCCGUGUGUAUGAAGAAGGCCUUCGUUUUGUAAAGUACAAUCAGCGGGGAGGAAGGGAGUACAGUUAAUACCUCUGCUCAUUGACGUUACUCGCAGAAGAAGCACCGGCUAACUGCGUGCCAGCAGCCGCGGUAAUACGGAGGCUGCAAGCGUUAAUCGGAAUUACUGGGCGUAAAGCGCACGCAGGCGGUGUGAUAAGUCAGAUGUGACAUCACCGGGCUCAACCUGAGAACUGCAUCUGAUACUGGCAAGCUUGAGUCUCGUAGAGGGGUGUAGAAUUCCAGGUGUAGCGGUGAAAUGCGUAGAGAUCUGGAGGAAUACCGGUGGCGAAGGCGGCCCCCUGGACGAAGACUGACGCUCAGGUGCGAAAGCGUGGGGAGCAAACAGGAUUAGAUACCCUGGUAGUCCACGCCGUAAACGAUGUCGACUUGGAGGUUGUGCCCUUGAGGCGUGGCUUCCGGAGCUAACGCGUUAAGUCGACCGCCUGGGGAGUACGGCCGCAAGGUUAAAACUCAAAUGAAUUGACGGGGGCCCGCACAAGCGGUGGAGCAUGUGGUUUAAUUCGAUGCAACGCGAAGAACCUUACCUGGUCUUGACAUCCACGGAAGUUUUCAGAGAUGAGAAUGUGCCUUCGGGAACCGUGAGACAGGUGCUGCAUGGCUGUCGUCAGCUCGUGUUGUGAAAUGUUGGGUUAAGUCCCGCAACGAGCGCAACCCUUAUCCUUUGUUGCCAGCGGUCCGGCCGGGAACUCAAAGGAGACUGCCAGUGAUAAACUGGAGGAAGGUGGGGAUGACGUCAAGUCAUCAUGGCCCUUACGACCAGGGCUACACACGUGCUACAAUGGCGCAUACAAAGAGAAGCGACCUCGCGAGAGCAAGCGGACCUCAUAAAGUGCGUCGUAGUCCGGAUUGGAGUCUGCAACUCGACUCCAUGAAGUCGGAAUCGCUAGUAAUCGUGGAUCAGAAGCCACGGUUACCCCCC